UACGUAGGGUGCGAGCGUUAAUCGGAAUUACUGGGCGUAAAGCGUGCGCAGGCGGUUUUGUAAGCCAGAUGUGAAAUCCCCGGGCUUAACCUGGGAAUGGCAUUUGGGACUGCAAGGCUUGAGUGCGGCAGAGGAGACUGGAAUUCCUGGUGUAGCAGUGAAAUGCGUAGAUAUCAGGAGGAACACCGAUGGCGAAGGCAGGUCUCUGGGCCGUUACUGACGCUGAGGAGCGAAAGCGUGGGGAGCGAACAGG
Molecule: ribosomal RNA, 253 nt
Filed under: uncultured bacterium
Lineage: Bacteria
Description: partial 16S ribosomal RNA
Rfam family: Bacterial small subunit ribosomal RNA
Source: RNAcentral